This 348-nucleotide small RNA is filed under the name Vigna angularis var. angularis. RNAcentral describes it as "Non-protein coding transcript". The record is from RNAcentral. Lineage: Eukaryota; Viridiplantae; Streptophyta; Magnoliopsida; Fabales; Fabaceae.
AUGCAACAAAGAAGAUCUUGCUUUUCUGGCAAUUCUCAUCAGUUGUGAAAUCAAAAUCAUACACGGCAUAGCGACACUCAUCAGCUGGCAAACUGGCCUGAAAAUCCUGAUUUUCAGCUGGUUUCGUUGGGGUAAGAAUUUAGAAUUUGCAUGUUUUUGAUUCCCAAUUUGUGUUCCAAAAUCUAAGAGGAUGUAAAAACACCACUUAACUUUCAUAGACUGAAACGAAAGUUCAUUUUUGUAUCAGCAGCAUCUUUUGACAGUAGUUAAUUUUGUAAGGGGCAUGCAUGCAUAUGCACAUGAUGAGAUACUUUCCAUUCUCCUAGACAUUGUCCAUCUCAUCAACUC